This 904-nucleotide long non-coding RNA is filed under the name Sparus aurata (gilthead seabream). Its description in RNAcentral is "lncRNA (ENSSAUG00010019445.1)". Lineage: Eukaryota; Metazoa; Chordata; Actinopteri; Spariformes; Sparidae. The record is from RNAcentral.
AACUGUAAGAUGCUUUUUGACCAAACUGUGUUUAUUCAGGGACUGACCUCAAACCCUGCAGUGACUCAGUCUGAUCCAGAAACCAGUCAGGGCACGGCUGAGCCUGGAGAUGGAGUCUGCUACGCCUCCGUUAGCUACACCAGGAACACCAACAGGAGAGAUCGGGCUCAGGGAAAAGAUGGAGAUGACGAUGAUGAUGAAGCAGUGACCUACACCACCAUCAAAGCUUCCUCUCUUUCUGCUGCAGCGUCUGCUGAUCCCAGCGACCUGUACGCCAGCGUCAACAAACCAAAGAAAUAAGAGGCCACAGUGUCGUCACAGCUCAUGUUGCUCCACUUGUUUUACAUUGAUAAUGGAUUUUAGUAAAUGCUUGAUGAUCAUUUGGAGGAUUUUUUGCUGUAACAAGCCUUUUAUCCAGUACGAGUUGCAGUAGUUUAACUAGCAGCACAUUAGCACAGUAUUACGUGGCAGCUUGAAAUGUAAACGAGCUAAUGAGAUAAUAUAUGGUACAUUUUUCUUGAUAAUCUGUAAAAAGAGUAAAUGCUAGAUUGGCUUUGUAGUGUAGGUAUCAGAAAACAGGUUCUGUGAGGAUCCCAGGUCAUUUCAUAAAGCAGAGUACAGAGGUCACACUUGUGUUUUGCUUUGUGAUCAAUAAAUCACAACCAAAACAUUCCAGGGUACUGUUUUGUAUAAAGCUAAUAUGCUAAAGAUUGGCUUUAGUUUAAGAUGUGUUAGUUUCUGCUGUUAUUUUUGUAUCUCCUGUUAUUGUUUGAUAUGCAGUCAUUUUAACAUCUAUAUCUCUCCCAAUAAAUUAAUAAAUGAACCAACUGACUUGUGUAUUUUCAGCCUUUAUCAACUUGAACAUCAAAGAAGCACUCGCAUUUUCUUUAUAUUUUGUAGAGAA